GUUUUCAAAAGCUCGAUAACGUUUGUAUCCGUUCCGUCCAUCUAUAGUUGAAUUUUUAGUUUCAAAUAAGAAUAUAAUUGGGUUUCAUUGAUAUAAACUCUCCUAAAACCAGAGUAAAUUCUUAAACGUUGUGAGAGUGUUCAAUUCUUGCUAGUCUAGCACAGCUUACGAAUCAAUAUUUAAGCACUCCCCACAUCAACAUCCACUUCCAAGAAAUUAUUUCCAAAGCCAUGACUUUUUUGGACAAGUGGAUUUUCGAUCCCCAAAAUGUUAGAGAACAUGGAUCUUCUCGAGCUCCUCAAGCCAUCUACAGAACAACAAGAUUCCCAAAUUGAGGAAACCCGAAAAAUACAAAAUUAUACCACAAAAUGGUAAGAUACGUGUAUUACCAUUCCAUGGAGUACGAGUCCAACGCCUCCAUACGAAAAAAUGGUGUACACCGAUAUACAGCAGAUAAAAUAUAGGUAUCUAUUUACCAUCUAAAAAGAAAAAAAAAAUUGGCAAAUCUUAAUGACAUGUAAGUUGUAUUUCACUUAAUAUAGUGCUUCUUUGGAUCCGCAACUCCAUCUAAACCGGGAAAAAGAUAUGGAGGCCAAAUAGGUAUGAAAAUCUCCAUUUUAUCGAAGAUGAAAUAUUUGGAAUCCACAAAUUUAUUUGUCAACUUCGGUUCUGCUUCUGAAGGUGGUAUUAACGAACCGAAAAAAAUACUGUCUAUAGACAACAAAAUGAUCAAGAUAGAAAAAAAUCACAGACAAUCAGUAUUUCAAUGCUUGCAAUUAUUUAGCAGAUUAUCACAAGACAUUUAAAACUCAAAGCAGCGAAAACUUUGAAAAAAUAUCCGUAUUCGUCUCCCAGAACCUUCCACUCGAAUACAAAUUUAAACAUAAUCUACAGAUCGAUCUUUACAAUGAAAAGUACAUAUAUGGCAUAUUGUUUUUUAUCACGCGAAGAACUGCGAUUCCAUCAUUAUGCAAACGAUCCAAAAAAAACUACAGAAUUGAAUGUUGAAGAAACAAUUAGCAACGAAUUCGACAUCUAAUUUAGAACACUUUGACCGUUGCUACGAAGAUAGAAACCUGCUGUUACGAUGAAGUAGGAACAAGAAAAAAACAGACCAAGAAGAUUUGGGAAGACAAGUCGAUCGGAACACGAAAAUAAAUGGAUUAAUUGAAUGAGGAAAAGAAGGUGAACAGAGUGCUGAAGAACGAUAAAAGAAUCUAGUGAUGAGUCCGAGGCAUCGAAACCUAUACGUAGUAAUCGGUUAGCUGUCCAAGACAACCAUCUAAAGUUGAUUGUUUCACCGCCAGAACUGCAUACUCUCAUUCCCAGAAAGUUUACUUUGCAUAUUAUCGAGAUAUCGACCCCAGAUUAUGUUAAAGAAAAUGAAUGGAACGUGCAUAUUAUAAAAAAAAUGUUGAUCUACAGAAUUACACGUCGUGAGUUUUGUCCACCCAGAUUCGCGAGUGAGAUUGAUGAAAGAUUUGAAAAAUUUUGAAAAAUUAUCGUUUACUGUUGUCAAACUCAUUCACCAGAUCUUAGCUGGAGUAAUAAUAUGUUUUUUGGUUCCGAAGUUCAUCUACAGCAGCAAGAAUUACUCGAAUGUUGGUUACAAUAUCAAAAUACAGGAGAUUUGACCAAAUUACAUUUUAUUCUAAUUCUAGAAUAAUUAAUGCUUCGUAUUAUUUUUACUCGUACUUGUGAAAAAUCAUAUUCUUGUUAGAAAAUAUAACAAAAUACCUAUAUAUUUUUUAAAAUACCAAUAUAUAUAAUAUUUCGA
Molecule: long non-coding RNA, 1777 nt
Organism: Planococcus citri (citrus mealybug)
Lineage: Eukaryota; Metazoa; Arthropoda; Insecta; Hemiptera; Pseudococcidae
Exons: 2
Source: RefSeq, a predicted model, not a curated record